Molecule: ribosomal RNA, 464 nt
Filed under: Vreelandella stevensii
Lineage: Bacteria; Pseudomonadati; Pseudomonadota; Gammaproteobacteria; Oceanospirillales; Halomonadaceae
Description: partial 16S ribosomal RNA
Rfam family: Bacterial small subunit ribosomal RNA
Source: RNAcentral
CCUACGGGCGGCAGCAGUGGGGAAUAUUGGACAAUGGGGGGAACCCUGAUCCAGCCAUGCCGCGUGUGUGAAGAAGGCCCUCGGGUUGUAAAGCACUUUCAGUGAGGAAGAACGCCUGGUGGUUAAUACCCAUCAGGUAAGACAUCACUCACAGAAGAAGCACCGGCUAACUCCGUGCCAGCAGCCGCGGUAAUACGGAGGGUGCGAGCGUAAUCGGAAUUACUGGGCGUAAAGCGCGCGUAGGUGGCUUGAUAAGCCGGUUGUGAAAGCCCCGGGCUCAACCUGGGAACGGCAUCCGGAACUGUCAAGCUAGAGUGCAGGAGAGGAAGGUAGAAUUCCCGGUGUAGCGGUGAAAUGCGGAGAGAUCGGGAGGAAUACCAGUGGCGAAGGCGGCCUUCUGGACUGACACUGACUCUGAGGUGCGAAAGCGUGGGUAGCAAACAGGAUUAGAUACCCGUGUAGUC